UUAUUAUUAUUAUUAUUAUUAUUAUUAUUUGCAUAUAUGCAUUUCUUCCCUUCAACACCCUCGUGCCUCCGACAUCCCCUUUGCGUUCGGCUCUUCCAAGCCUCGCUACAUUGCCUUGCAAACAUGCAAGCUUUGUGAUGCCCUCGGCACCCUCGUGCCUAGACACAUUGCCUUGCGACAUGCAAGCUUUGUGCCUUCGGCAUCCCCUUUGCUUUCGGUACCCCCGUACCUAGGUCUAAUGUCUUGCAACAUGCAAGUCUUAUGCCUUCGGCACCCUCGUGCCUAGGCCCAUCGCCUUGCGACAUGCAAUUCUUAUGCCUUCGGCACCCUCGUGCCUAGGUCCAUUGCCUUGCGACAUGCAAUUCUUAUGCCUUCGGCACCCUCGUGCCUAGGCACAUUGCCUUGCGACAUGCAAGCUUUGUGCCUUCGGCAUCCCCUUUGCCUUCGGCACCCCCAUGCCUAGCUCUAUUGUCUUGCAACAUGUCAGUCUUAUGCCUUCGGCACCCUUGUGCCUAGGCCCAUCACCUUGCGACAUGCAAUUCUUAUGCCUUCGGCACCCUCGUGCCUAAGCACAUUGCCUUGCGACAUGCAAGCUUUGUGCCUUCGGCACCCCCGUGCCUAGCUCCAUUGUCUUGCAACAUGCAAGUCUUAUGCCUUUGGCACCCUUGUGCCUAGGCCACAUCGCCUUGCAACAUGCAAGCUUUGUGCCUUCGGCACCCUCGUGCCCAACCACAUUACCAUGAGACAUGCAACUUUG
Molecule: long non-coding RNA, 757 nt
Filed under: Prunus persica (peach)
Lineage: Eukaryota; Viridiplantae; Streptophyta; Magnoliopsida; Rosales; Rosaceae
Description: long non-coding RNA (PPER_LNC005991)
Source: RNAcentral